RNAcentral lists this ribosomal RNA (1218 nucleotides) under Triticum aestivum (bread wheat). RNAcentral describes it as "partial small subunit ribosomal RNA". The record is from RNAcentral. Lineage: Eukaryota; Viridiplantae; Streptophyta; Magnoliopsida; Poales; Poaceae.
AUGAGUUCCUGCCUUUCCCAUAUAAUUAGAGAUCAUUCCCUUGAUUUUAUUUGCUUGCAAGAGAUCCAUAAGAAGAAGUUUCAGGAUAGUUAUUUUAGGAAAAUUGACCCUUACACUGCUUUUGAGUGGGAUUGGGUUCCCUCAGUGGGGAAAUAUGGAGGAAUUCUAUGUGGGGUCAAAAAAGAGAGGUUUGAAGUUGUUGCAUGGAGGAAAGGCAGGUUUAUUCUCCAAGUUGUUGUAUAUGACAUCAAGAUUAAAAAGCUUGCUCUUUGUACUAUCUAUGGGGCAACUCAUGAUAGUGAAAAACAAGAUUUUCUUAUAGAAUUAGCUGACUUUUGCAUUCAUGCGCAAACCCCUCUGUUAAUAGGAGGUGAUUUUAAUAUUCUGAGACAUGAGGGAGAGAAGAAUAAAAAUUGGCAUCGUUCCCCUUACACAGAUAUGUUCAAUUCUGUGAUUAACACGAUGUGUUUGAAUGAAAUUCACAUGAGCGGGGGAAUGUAUACAUGGAGUAACAACCAAGCCCAUCCUACUCUGGAAAAGUUAGAUUGAGUGCUUAUGAGCAAUGACUAGGAGGACUUAUUCCCUCAAGUCAAUAUCAAGAAAAUUGUUAGAGAUGUAUAUGAUCAUAAUGCUCUUUUGCUGUCCUCUGACAAUCAUGUUGUCAGAGUCCCGCAACAAAGAGAGUUUAGAUUUGAAAUUAGCUGGCUCAAGUGUGAUGAUUUCCUACCUUUAAUGGAUAAGGUCUGGAACCAGUAUGUUAAAGCUACAGACCCCAUUAAUGUGUUAAACAUCAAACUGAAACGUUUUAAAAAAUUCUUUAAGGGUUGGGGAUCCAACAAGUUUGGGCAUGAGAAGAUUAAGAAGAAGAUUAUCAGAGAGGAGCUGGCUAGUAUUGAAAAGGAAGAAGAGGAAGGGAUACUAGACCCAGAUAUAUUCUACAGAAAAACUGAGCUCUUAGUAGAGUUAAAUGAAAUUCUAGUUAAUGAAGAACUAUUCUUGUUACAGCAGUCCAAAGAGAGGUGGCUGCUCAAAGGGGAUAGUAACUCUGCUUAUUACCAAAAGAUUGCUAAUUGCAAUAAGAGGAAAAAUAUUAUUCACUCCCUGAAUGUAGGGGAUGUAGUAAUAGAGGGGACGAGUGAUCUUUUGAAUCAUGCCACUGAUUUUUAUAAAAAAUCUUUUUGGACCGCCCCCUGGAAACUUGCUCUAGGUGGAUCCUAA